Molecule: ribosomal RNA, 490 nt
Filed under: uncultured bacterium
Lineage: Bacteria
Description: partial 16S ribosomal RNA
Rfam family: Bacterial small subunit ribosomal RNA
Source: RNAcentral
AUUGAACGCUGGCGGCAGGCCUAACACAUGCAAGUCGAACGGUAACAGGAAGAAGCUUGCUUCUUUGCUGACGAGUGGCGGACGGGUGAGUAAUGUCUGGGAAACUGCCUGAUGGAGGGGGAUAACUACUGGAAACGGUAGCUCAUACCGCAUAACGUCGCAAGACCAAAGAGCGGGACCUUCGGGCCUCUUGCCAUCGGAUGUGCCCAGAUGGGAUUAGCUAGUAGGUGGGGUAACGGCUCACCUAGGCGACGAUCCCUAGCUGGUCUGAGAGGAUGACCAGCCACACUGGAACUGAGACACGGUCCAGACUCCUACGGGAGGCAGCAGUGGGGAAUAUUGCACAAGGGGCGCAAGCCUGAUGCAGCCAUGCCGCGUGUAUGAAGAAGGCCUUCGGGUUGUAAAGUACUUUCAGCGGGGAGGAAGGGAGUAAAGUUAAUACCUUUGCUCAUUGACGUUACCCGCAGAAGAAGCACCGGCUAACUCCGUG